UACGUAGGGGGCAAGCGUUGUCCGGAUUCACUGGGCGUAAAGCGCGCGCAGGCGGCGAUCUGCGUCUGGGGUGAAAGCCCGGAGCUCAACUCCGGGAUUGCCUUGGAUACGGGGUCGCUUGAGGGUCGGAGAGGCAAGGGGAAUUCCACGUGUAGCGGUGAAAUGCGUAGAGAUGUGGAGGAACACCUGUGGCGAAGGCGCCUUGCUGGCCGAUUCCUGACGCUGAGGCGCGAAAGCGUGGGGAG
Molecule: ribosomal RNA, 245 nt
Filed under: uncultured bacterium
Lineage: Bacteria
Description: partial 16S ribosomal RNA
Rfam family: Bacterial small subunit ribosomal RNA
Source: RNAcentral